This 381-nucleotide ribosomal RNA is filed under the name Sellaphora auldreekie. Its description in RNAcentral is "SSU rRNA". It matches the Rfam family "Eukaryotic small subunit ribosomal RNA", at positions 582 to 971 of the family's 1831-position model. The record is from RNAcentral. Lineage: Eukaryota; Bacillariophyta; Bacillariophyceae; Sellaphorales; Sellaphoraceae.
AUUCCAGCUCCAAUAGCGUAUAUUAACGUUGUUGCAGUUAAAAAGCUCGUAGUUGGAUUUGUGGUUUCAGGUGCGGUCCAAAAUUUUUUGGUACUGCAUGUUGGAGCCAUCCUUGGGUGGAAUCUGUGUGGCAUUAGGUUGUCGCGCAGGGGAUGCCCAUCGUUUACUGUGAAAAAAUUAGAGUGUUCAAAGCAGGCUUAUGCCGUUGAAUAUAUUAGCAUGGAAUAAUGAGAUAGGACCUUGGUACUAUUUUGUUGGUUUGCGCACCGAGGUAAUGAUUAACAGGGACAGUUGGGGGUAUUCGUAUUUCAUUGUCAGAGGUGAAAUUCUUGGAUUUUUGGAAGACGAACUACUGCGAAAGCAUUUACCAAGGAUGUUUUC